This 1349-nucleotide ribosomal RNA is filed under the name metagenome. RNAcentral's name for it is "bacterial LSU rRNA". It matches the Rfam family "Bacterial large subunit ribosomal RNA", at positions 1564 to 2925 of the family's 2925-position model. The record is from RNAcentral.
UGAGUGCGAGCGGCUACGGCCGCGAAGUGGGUGAUGUCAAGCUUCCAAGAAAAGCCCUAUACCCGUUAAGGCAUGAUGGCCUGUACCCGAAACCGACACAGGUGGGGUGGUAGAGAAUACCGAGGGGCGCGAGGUAACUCUCUCUAAGGAACUCGGCAAAAUGGCCCCGUAACUUCGGGAGAAGGGGUGCCACCGCAAGGUGGUCGCAGUGAAGAGGCCCAGGCGACUGUUUACCAAAAACACAGGUCUCCGCUAAGUCGCAAGACGAUGUAUGGGGGCUGACGCCUGCCCAGUGCCGGAAGGUUAAGGAAGCUGGUCAGCACAAGCGAAGCUGGCGACUGAAGCCCCGGUGAACGGCGGCCGUAACUAUAACGGUCCUAAGGUAGCGAAAUUCCUUGUCGGGUAAGUUCCGACCCGCACGAAAGGCGUAACGAUCUGGGCGCUGUCUCGGAGAGAGGCUCGGCGAAAUAGAAUUGUCUGUGAAGAUGCGGACUACGUGCACCCGGACAGAAAGACCCUAUGAAGCUUUACUGUAGCUUGGUAUUGUGCCCGGGCUCUGAAUGCGCAGGAUAGGUGGGAGGCUUUGAUCCAUGGCUUGCGGGUCAUGGUGAGCCAACGGUGAGAUACCACUCUUUCAGAGCUAGGGUUCUAACGGUCACCCGUCAUCCGGGGACCGGACAGUAUCAGGUGGGCAGUUUGACUGGGGCGGUCGCCUCCUAAAAGGUAACGGAGGCGCGCAAAGGUUUGCUCAGGCUGGUUGGAAAUCAGCCGACGAGUGCAAAAGCAGAAGCAAGCUUGACUGUGAGACCUACAAGUCGAACAGGGACGAAAGUCGGCUUUAGUGAUCCGACGGUUCUGAGUGGAAGGGCCGUCGCUCAACGGAUAAAAGUUACUCUAAGGAUAACAGGCUGAUCUCCCCCAAGAGUUCACAUCGACGGGGAGGUUUGGCACCUCGAUGUCGGCUCAUCGCAACCUGGGGCUGAAGUCGGUCCCAAGGGUUGGGCUGUUCGCCCAUUAAAGCGGUACGCGAGCUGGGUUCAGAACGUCGUGAGACAGUUCGGUCCAUAUCCGGUGCACGCGCAGGAACAUUGAGAGGAUUUCUCCCUAGUACGAGAGGACCGGGAGGAACGCACCUCUGGUGUGCCAGUUAUCGUGCCAACGGUAAACGCUGGGUAGCCAUGUGCGGAGUGGAUAACCGCUGAAAGCAUCUAAGUGGGAAGCCCACCUCAAGAUGAGUGUUCCCAUGGCAUAAGCCAGUAAGGUCACGGGAAGAACACCCGUUGAUAGGCUCUACGUGGAAGCCGGGUAACCGGUGAAGCGGAGGAGUAAUAAUAGACCGAGGGCUUGAC